GAUAGUCGAAGCAGAAAAUGAUGAGUGUCAUAGAUUAGAUCUAAAUUUAUUCUAUAAAUGAAAGUGUAAGCACUCCACCUCAAGAGUAAUUUGGCAACAUUGGAACUGAAAUCAUUAGACCGUUUCUGAAACCAGUAGUGAAGUAUGUUGUUCAAUUAGAGAGCACGCAAAAAACCUUACCACAAUUUGAAUAUUUAUAUUUAGCAAACAAACCAAACUAAUAUAUUUACAAGCGUUGCACGGCUGUCUUCAGUUAAUGUCGCGAGACUUUGGUUAGUUCCAUUGAAUUAACGCAAACCCUUACUUUAUUUUUACAUAAAGUAGUUCCCCGGUACACUGGAUAUGAUAACAGGGAUCAAGACAAGUCAUCAUGACCUAUAUAUUGU
This 386-nucleotide ribosomal RNA is filed under the name Lecidea betulicola. RNAcentral's name for it is "SSU rRNA". It matches the Rfam family "Bacterial small subunit ribosomal RNA", at positions 789 to 1210 of the family's 1533-position model. Lineage: Eukaryota; Fungi; Ascomycota; Lecanoromycetes; Lecideales; Lecideaceae. The record is from RNAcentral.